Molecule: ribosomal RNA, 253 nt
Filed under: uncultured bacterium
Lineage: Bacteria
Description: partial 16S ribosomal RNA
Rfam family: Bacterial small subunit ribosomal RNA
Source: RNAcentral
UACGUAGGGUGCAAGCGUUAAUCGGAAUUACUGGGCGUAAAGCGUGCGCAGGCGGUUUUGUAAGUCUGACGUGAAAUCCCCGGGCUCAACCUGGGAAUUGCGUUGGAGACUGCAAGGCUAGAAUCUGGCAGAGGGGGGUAGAAUUCCACGUGUAGCAGUGAAAUGCGUAGAGAUGUGGAGGAACACCGAUGGCGAAGGCAGCCCCCUGGGUCAAGAUUGACGCUCAUGCACGAAAGCGUGGGGAGCAGACAGG